Molecule: microRNA precursor, 61 nt
Filed under: Octopus vulgaris (common octopus)
Lineage: Eukaryota; Metazoa; Mollusca; Cephalopoda; Octopoda; Octopodidae
Description: Ovu-Mir-22-P1_pre stem-loop
Source: RNAcentral
CAGCUCCUCUUUAGGUUGCCUUGUGGUCACUUCAACCAAGCUGCCUGAUGAAGAGCUGUCC